This 507-nucleotide ribosomal RNA is filed under the name uncultured soil bacterium. RNAcentral describes it as "bacterial SSU rRNA". It matches the Rfam family "Bacterial small subunit ribosomal RNA", at positions 26 to 526 of the family's 1533-position model. The record is from RNAcentral.
AGAUUGAACGCUGGCGGCAUGCCUUACACAUGCAAGUCGAACGGCAGCACGGGAGCAAUCCUGGUGGCGAGUGGCGAACGGGUGAGUAAUACAUCGGAACGUGCCCAGUUGUGGGGGAUAGCCCGGCGAAAGCCGGAUUAAUACCGCAUACGACCUACGGGUGAAAGCGGGGGAUCGCAAGACCUCGCGCUAUUGGAGCGGCCGAUGUCGGAUUAGCUUGUUGGUAGGGUAAAGCCUACCAAGGCUACGAUCCGUAGCUGGUCUGAGAGGACGACCAGCCACACUGGGACUGAGACAUGGCCCAGACUCCUACGGGAGGCAGCAGUGGGGAAUUUUGGACAAUGGGCGCAAGCCUGAUCCAGCAAUGCCGCGUGCAGGAAGAAGGCCUUCGGUUGUAAACUGCUUUGUACGGAACGAAACGGUCCUGGUUAAUACCGUGGGUCUAAGUGACGGUACCGUAAGAAUAAGCACCGGCUAACUACGUGACCAGCACGCCGACGGUAACUC